AGAGUUUGAUCAUGGCUCAGGAUGAACGCUAGCUACAGGCUUAACACAUGCAAGUCGAGGGGAAACGACAUCGAAAGCUUGCUUUUGAUGGGCGUCGACCGGCGCACGGGUGAGUAACGCGUAUCCAACCUGCCCACCACUUGGGGAUAACCUUGCGAAAGUAAGACUAAUACCCAAUGAUAUCUCUAGAAGACAUCUGAAAGAGAUUAAAGAUUCAUCGGUGAUGGAGUGGGGAUGCGUCUGAUUAGCUUGUUGGCGGGGUAACGGCCCACCAAGGCAACGAUCAGUAGGGGUUCUGAGAGGAACGGUCCCCCACAUUGGAACUGAGACACGGUCCAAACUCCUACGGGAGGCGGCA
RNAcentral lists this ribosomal RNA (358 nucleotides) under uncultured bacterium. Its description in RNAcentral is "bacterial SSU rRNA". It matches the Rfam family "Bacterial small subunit ribosomal RNA", at positions 8 to 353 of the family's 1533-position model. The record is from RNAcentral.